GGAGGUGUGCCCGAGCAAUUAAGGACUACUUUGAUAGAGUACACCACAGGGACUAAUACCCCUCACCUCCU
This 71-nucleotide transfer RNA is filed under the name Lepidodactylus lugubris. Its description in RNAcentral is "tRNA-Ile". Lineage: Eukaryota; Metazoa; Chordata; Lepidosauria; Squamata; Gekkonidae. The record is from RNAcentral.